UUUCGCCGCGUUACCGGUGGGUAUGUCAGUGUAAAGCGUUCUCACCAGACCAGCUUGUGUCAAACUAGACAUUAACACAUCACACCCGGUGACGCACCUGAAAAGAUUAAAUAGGUACCAUAGAAGUUUGGAGUGACUCACUUGAGGAAUAGUCACGAUCAGCCAAUGCAGAGCAUCAUGUGGAAAUCAAAGAAAGAAGAAACAAUUGAAAAGCAAAUGGGAAUUGCAUGUCACAACUAGAAGACGUAUGACGCACCACAUUUACAUAUUCUCCAUAGUAUCUACAAAGACAAAGGAAUGGUA
Pecten maximus is the source of this 303-nucleotide long non-coding RNA. RefSeq lists it as uncharacterized. NCBI's taxonomy places the organism in Eukaryota, Metazoa, Mollusca, Bivalvia, Pectinida, Pectinidae. The record is from RefSeq and is a predicted model, not a curated record. The transcript has 3 exons.